GUUGGGUAGGGGAGCGUUCUGUAAGCCUGUGAAGGUGUGUCGUGAGGCAUGCUGGAGGUAUCAGAAGUGCGAAUGCUGACAUAAGUAACGAUAAAGCGGGUGAAAAGCCCGCUCGCCGGAAGACCAAGGGUUCCUGUCCAACGUUAAUCGGGGCAGGGUGAGUCGACCCCUAAGGCGAGGCCGAAAGGCGUAGUCGAUGGGAAACGGGUUAAUAUUCCCGUACUUGGUGUUACUGCGAAGGGGGGACGGAGAAGGCUAUGUUGGCCGGGCGACGGUUGUCCCGGUUUAAGCGUGUAGGUGUGUGUUCCAGGUAAAUCCGGUUCACUUUAACACUGAGGCGUGACGACGAGGCACUACGGUGCUGAAGCAACAAAUGCCCUGCUUCCAGGAAAAGCCUCUAAGCAUCAGGUAACAUCAAAUCGUACCCCAAACCGACACAGGUGGUCAGGUAGAGAAUACCAAGGCGCUUGAGAGAACUCGGGUGAAGGAACUAGGCAAAAUGGUGCCGUAACUUCGGGAGAAGGCACGCUGACACGUAGGUGAAGUGAUUUACUCAUGGAGCUGAAGUCAGUCGAAGAUACCAGCUGGCUGCAACUGUUUAUUAAAAACACAGCACUGUGCAAACACGAAAGUGGACGUAUACGGUGUGACGCCUGCCCGGUGCCGGAAGGUUAAUUGAUGGGGUCAGCGCAAGCGAAGCUCCUGAUCGAAGCCCCGGUAAACGGCGGCCGUAACUAUAACGGUCCUAAGGUAGCGAAAUUCCUUGUCGGGUAAGUUCCGACCUGCACGAAUGGCGUAAUGAUGGCCAGGCUGUCUCCACCCGAGACUCAGUGAAAUUGAACUCGCUGUGAAGAUGCAGUGUACCCGCGGCAAGACGGAAAGACCCCGUGAACCUUUACUAUAGCUUGACACUGAACAUUGAGCCUUGAUGUGUAGGAUAGGUGGGAGGCUUUGAAGUGUGGACGCCAGUCUGCAUGGAGCCGACCUUGAAAUACCACCCUUUAAUGUUUGAUGUUCUAACGUGGACCCGUUACCCGGGUUGCGGACAGUGUCUGGUGGGUAGUUUGACUGGGGCGGUCUCCUCC
RNAcentral lists this ribosomal RNA (1085 nucleotides) under Salmonella enterica subsp. enterica serovar Enteritidis. Its description in RNAcentral is "partial 23S ribosomal RNA". It matches the Rfam family "Bacterial large subunit ribosomal RNA", at positions 1223 to 2290 of the family's 2925-position model. The record is from RNAcentral. Lineage: Bacteria; Pseudomonadati; Pseudomonadota; Gammaproteobacteria; Enterobacterales; Enterobacteriaceae.